Non-coding RNA from Pelobates cultripes (western spadefoot toad), 671 nucleotides. NCBI's taxonomy places the organism in Eukaryota, Metazoa, Chordata, Amphibia, Anura, Pelobatidae. The record is from the annotation of a GenBank genome assembly.
AUUGGAAAUAAUACCAGCUUAUAUAUAUAUGACAGGUCGAUCAGGAAAAAAGCCGGAUAGUACAGGUAUAAAUGUAUGAAUAUAUAAAUAAAAAUAUGUGUAUGCAAAUAAGUGUGAAUAAAAAAUACAAUAUAGAUGCUACAAAAAUAAAUGUUGAACUAAUAUGUUCCGCUAAUGCAAGCGGGUUAGCUCUAACCUCUAAUAAGGGGAAAAUAUGCCCAAUAGAAGGGAGUGAGGCAGUAAACAACAAGUAAGGGUCUCACUUAGGGAUCUGUACCCAGAAAUAAAGAGUAAAAUUAGUGAUAUUGUGAAGAAGGAAUAAACUGCAAUGGGAAGUGGGGGCAAUAUGACAGAGUCUGCCGAAAUCAAAAUAAUGUAGGUGAACCUAUCACAAUUACUCGCAGUGAGGUCGGGAAGGAAAAAAAAAACAGAUCAUGGUAGGGAGAUUGGAAAAUGAACCAUAGAGGACUGCAUAAACUAAACUUAACUGGCAAAUAUAUGAAUCAAGCACCCAGUAGCUGGUAUAAAUCUUAUACCACAAUACAUUAACCACUUAAGGGCCAAACUUCUGGAAUAAAAGGGAAUCAUGACAUGUCACACGUCAUGUGUCCUUAGGGGGUUAAAUAGUGUGAAUGGCUCUAAGAGGAUAAAUAGCUAUCUAACAUAGAAAU